UUUGGGCUAUGGGGGGUGUUCUUCGAAAAAAAAGGAAGAAGGAAACAGAGCAAAACCAGGGGAAGAGAGAGAGAGAGAGGGAGAGGGAGAGAGAAAAUAGGAUGAAGUGGGAGGAACCUGCAGAAGCAGAGGAAUCUCCGUGCAUGUCCCUGAAAGCCCAAUCCUGUGGUCACCUGUUUCCUUUCCAACCUCUCUUUCUCGGAGAUUUUGGUUAUAGGUUUGAAGGUUAAACUAUUUGAGGAAGUUUCAUGGGAUUUAUUUGCAUCUAAGACUUGAAACGAGGUAGAUUUCUCCAAAUUAGUCGAGUUAGCCAAUAUACUUAAAUUUUUGUGUUUUGCUUGCUUGAGGCUUGACUUGUGUGAAAAUUAGUUAAAUUUGAUGAAGCUAGUGAGUCUUACGAACUUGAAUGGGUAUAGAUGUGGUCGUGAACUAUGUAUAGUUCCUCACGGUUGAGUUUGCUUGAUUUUAGAUUGUUGCACUUGAGUUGAUAGUUUUCUUGGGUUGGACAGGAUCAAGUUUAUUUUUCUUGCCUAGACAAGUUUUGGGUUGAGCUACUUGCUUAUUGCCUUGAAUAAAUUCUGAAAUGAAAUAAGAGGAAUACGAAAUGAAAUUGAGCGCAGAGUGAGUGGUCAACUAUGGUCAAGAUUGAUGAAAUUGCAUUGGGGAACUUUUAAGAUACUAAUGACGGUUAUAAAAUGUCAAAUAAACUAACUAAUGGCAAGAUGUAUAGUGAGCUAAUAUUUAGGUGGUGGAAUUGGCUGUGAUGGCAAUGGCAGCAGGGAAUUUCAUUUUGUCUUGAAUUAUUAAGCAUUUUUUUCCAGUGACGAUUGAUUAUCUAUCUAUAAGUUGGAGCCCAUGCGUUUUAACGACUUUUCUUUGAGGAUGAUGGGGUCCCAUUUGUCAGUAUGAACUUGGUAAAUAUGGAGUACGAACUUGAUAUAACUUAAAGAUUGUCAUGCUUAUGGGAUAUAGAGACCGAAGAGGCAAUAGUUGCAGAGCAUUGAUGAAGGGGUUGAACUUAUAUACUUAGUUGUAUUCUUCCUAUACGAUUUGGGUUAGUUAGUUGAAGUAAGUGAGUUUUUCAUAGCUUAAGUACGGGUGUCUAAUGAGUUUAGUGAAGUUAGAGUUAUCUCUUGUUAGAGUGAAUUUAGUCAUGUCUAGAGCCGAAGGAAUUCGAUUAGAUGAAUUUGAUUGAGUUUUCGAAGUUUUGACAAAGGAUUCGAAUUUACAUUCUUAAUUUAUACUUGACAAUUUCUAUUGAUUGCAAUUGUUUGGGUGAAAGUUUGAUCAUGGGGGUAGAGGAAGUUUUAUUUUUAAUGUUCUCAUUCGUAGAUUAAUGGGGGACUUGUUUAGUAAAGUAUUCCUCUGCUUUAUGUAAAGUGGGAACAAUAGUUUGACAGAACUAACAUGUAUAUUAUGAUAUUAUUUUGCAUAUUAGGUGAUAUUUUAUUAUUGUAAUGGAUAGGGAUCGAGGAGACCGAAUAUCUGGAUUCUAAAGGCUCGAGCCAGUGAACUAUUCUUUUGGGAAUUAUCUGUGAAUACUUCAUUGCAUUGUGAAAUGAUAUAUAUAUAUAUAUAUAUAUCUGUGUGUGUGUGUAUAUAUGUGAGUACUCUAUUCCCUUGUAAAAUGAUGUAUUAUAUAUAUAUAUAUAUAUAUAUAUUAUCUAAGAAGAAUAUUGUGAUAGUUAGAUAUUAAGAAAUCGGUCUUGCUAGGUUGUGUGAAUUGAUGUGGGAGAUAUUGCCCUUUUUGUUUCACUUUGACAUGUGAUAUGUGGCGUGAUAGUAUGUAUAUGUUGAUUAUAUAGAAGAUAUGUGAUGAUAUUGUGAUAAUUUGGAAAUAGGAAAUUGGGAUGGAUACAUGAGGAUGCUAAUUGUGUAUGGGAUGUGUCAUGUGAAUAUGCUCCCAUUGGAAUGUGAUUGAGAUUGCGCUUGUGUAUAAUGCUAUAUGAGGUGAGAUGGCAUGGUUGCGAUUGUUUAUGCUUGUGAUUGUUAUUUGAUUAUAGCCAUGGGACCGCUGAUCCGGCGGUAUAUAAAUAGGACGCCUAAACCGCUGAUCCGACGGGAUACAAAAAGGGAUGCCUAGAUCACUGAUCCGGCGGGAUAUAAAAUGGUCGCCUAGACUCCUCCUAUCGGAGGAUAAUGGACAGUCCCCGCUUAUGAGACAUGGAUAUUGGGAGUUGAUGAUGAUAUGAAUGAGAUGUGUGGGUCACGGUACCGUCAUAACUCUGUUGCUAGAAAAUGCAACCCUAUGGCUAUAUUGAUUGGUUGUGUUGUAUAUUAGUUGUCUGGUAUGUUUGUUGGUGAUGUGAUGAGUGUUGAGAUUGUCUGAAGAUGUUCUGUAAAAGCCGUGUUGUUGCUAGAGUUUAGUCUGUCAAGUGAUUGUGUUGUGAAUUUCUAUGGAAUGCUGAUGAAUGGAUAUUUGAUGUUUACGUGAUAUUGGAUGUUAGGGAAAUGGUUGGAAGAGUUGUGUUUGUAUUUCUUAGUAGAACCUAAAUUUAGUUACUAUAUUGGAUAUAAUUAUUAAUAUAGUUGUGUGUGUGUAUAUAUAUAUACCGUAUAUGUGUGCGAUGAGUUGAUAGUUGGAUUCGAUGUGACUGUAUUAUUUAUUUGAAUAUUUGGUGGGUUGCAAUUAAAUAUUUAUUUAAUAAUAAGUCAUUUUGCUUUGAAAUAUAGUAUUCACUAAGAUGCAGCACACGCCCUGCAUAUAUUUUUCCAGAUAAGCUUCUAACUGCGCGGAAGAACCACUUUUUGAUAUCGGGGAUCAGCUCGGAGAACUAGGGUUGAUCUCGGCUGUGACUGCCCGUUAGAUGACAACAAUUCUGGCUUCAGGGAGUUCCUCCAUGAGCAGCACCUGCCGCUGUAUCCGACAUCGUCUACCUUUCUGAGGAAGAUGAGGCCCCCGAGGAACCAGAGGAGGAGGGUGAUUGGUGGACGACCCAGCUCCACCUCGAUCUGCCAUUGAUUGUGCAUAAGAUUCCACACCGAACUUGAGACCAAUCGCCUCGAAUGAUGAGGCCGGUUUUGGUGGCAGGGUGUCGCGACUCUGUUUCCAGAGAAUUAUCUCGAUCAACAGGGCAUGCUGAUGUAUACCGACAUCCCCAGUGUAUCCAAUCCGACGAAAGAUAUGUUUAUAUGUGGAGCGGUUGAUGUCCAGCCUCGACCGGCUGUUUAUGGAGGGUCUAGAUUCCACGCCAUCAUCUAGAUGGAUCAGCUUCUCAGAGACCUCUCCUCUGCUUGUGGAUGCGUAGAUGUGGCGGGGCCAACAGAUUGCUGCGACCCACUCAGUCUUUUCUGGACAGAUCAUUGUACUCCCAAGCGAUACCAGUUGAUCGAGCACUCAGAGACGCAACAAGCCUUUGUUGGGGUUGGCUGCUAGUAUGUGAAACACCUGGGCGACUUCCUUGCUCUCUUCCAAGAACUUGACCGCGAGGUCCUUGCCCAGAAUAUCGCAUCCAGAUGCAAAACCUAGAGCCCUGACAAUGUCUUUCAUCAUGUUUUGGCAGUUGGUGCUCCAAAGGUCCCUGAGUUGUUACUGCAAUUCGACUUCCGGAACACAAGCAAUGGUGGCCUCAGAAUAUUCAAGGGUGGAAGUGGUAUCCUUUUCAAGUGUCCUAAGUCUGAUGUAGUCCGGGAUUUUAUAGUUGGGUGUGGACCCCGAGCGUCAUCGAGACCUGCUGGAACUGGACCACCUGGUUUUGAGGUGGUUGAGGACAACUUUAGAUGAUAGACUGACUCAAUCAGCAAGUUCUACAGUCCUAGUAGUAUCUCUAGAUAGAGCUAAAUUGCUAAUCUCUGUACCCGUCAUGAGCUAAUUGUAAUCUCUGCUUGCUUAGUUUAUGAAGGCAAUUAUAAAAUUCUUUUCGCAUUU
This is a non-coding RNA of Punica granatum (pomegranate), 3868 nucleotides long. Lineage: Eukaryota; Viridiplantae; Streptophyta; Magnoliopsida; Myrtales; Lythraceae. The record is from RefSeq and is a predicted model, not a curated record.